AAUCAACGCUGGCGGCGUGCCUAACACAUGCAAGUCGAACGAGAAAGCUUGGGUGUAGCAAUACAUCCGGGUGAGUAAAGUGGCGUACGGGUGAGUAACACGUAGCUAACCUACCCUCAAGCGGGGGAUAACCUGGGGAAACCCGGGCUAAUACCGCAUAACACCCCGAAGACCUAGGUCAUUGGGGUUAAAGGUCCGCAAGGGCCACUGGAGGAGGGGGCUGCGGCCGAUUAGCUAGUUGGUGAGGUAACGGCCCACCAAGGCAAUGAU
Molecule: ribosomal RNA, 270 nt
Filed under: uncultured bacterium
Lineage: Bacteria
Description: partial 16S ribosomal RNA
Rfam family: Bacterial small subunit ribosomal RNA
Source: RNAcentral